RNAcentral lists this long non-coding RNA (2111 nucleotides) under Mytilus galloprovincialis (Mediterranean mussel). The record is from RNAcentral. Lineage: Eukaryota; Metazoa; Mollusca; Bivalvia; Mytilida; Mytilidae.
UUCAAAUGCACAGUAUUGCACAAUAGCAAGAAAUAUCUAAUUUCACAAUAUUGUGCAAUAGCAAGAAAUUUUCAAUUGGAGUUAUCUUUCUUUGUCCAGAAUAGUAGUUGAAUCAACUUAAAUCAUUGUUUUAUACAAUAUACAAUGUAUAUUCACUUUUACUACCAACUGACAAAUUAAAACAAUCUUUACCAUUCAGUGAUAACAAGCACUUUAUUUUACAUUUUAAUAUUUUAUGAUGUAUUUAAAUGAGUAGUUAUUGUUGCAAACUCCAUUAGAAAUUUGAAUUGAGAUCAGUUUUGGGAAAAGGGAAAGGGGGAAAUGAAAUAAAAAGGGGAGGGGGGUUAAAUUUUUCUCAUUUCAGAUUUCAUAAAUAAAAAGAAAAUUUCUUCAAACACUUUUUUGAGAGGAUUAAUAUUCAACAGCAUAGUGAAUUGCUCAAAGGCCAAAAAAAUAAUUUAAGUUCAUUAGACCACAUUCAUUCUGUGUCAGAAACCUAUGCAGUGUCAACUAUUUAAUCACAAUCCAAAUUUAGAGCUGAAUCCAGCUUGAAUGUUGUGUCCAUACUUGGCCCAACCGUUCAGGGUUCAACCUCUGCGAUCGCAUAAAGCUGCACCCUGCGGAGCAUCUGGUUAUAUUGAUAGGUAGGUUAGCUAUAAAAAAAAAAGAGUACUUAAACAUUAAUAUCCAUGUUAAUAUAUAUGUAUUGAUAUCAUAGUUUACAAAACAUUUUUCAGAUUUUGCUGUGAAGCUUUAUCAAUCCUAAACAGGAAGUCAUUAAUAACCAAGAUAUGUUGCUAUAAUAUCACUCCUGUAAUUUAUUUUCUGAAUCCUGAAUUGACACUAAAUCUACAAUUUGGUGCAAUAUAUAUUUCUUCCUGUUGGGUAGUAAUGAUUCAAUGCAAAAUAAAGGAAACUUGCCAUAGUUUAUGCCAUGUUAAUUUUUGGGGUAAUGAGUGAUGGAAUGCAAACCCUAUGGUUAUUACUUGACAUCUAUUAAUACUAUAUCUUACAAGGUUUAUCACUACCUUUGAUAAGUGCAGUGAAGUGAGCAUUUAUAUUGAGAUCCUACCUAGUCAAUGUCAGGCAAUUUAUUGAUGAAUGUUGAUAUGUAUGUUACAAUAUGAUGUGUAAUUACAAUACUUGUCAAGAAAACCUUCUUUUUUUAAUUACUUAAAUAAUGCAUGGUGUAUGAAUCUGUCAUAAAAAUAGGUAGUACUACAAUUGUACAAUCAUGUACAAAGGAAGAUAACUCCAAAACAAAUUUUUGAUUUACAAAGCAAAAAUACAAUUUAAGUAGUUCACAAAAUUGCAAAAAGUAAGCAAUAUUUACCCUUUAGCGCUCACACACACUUUGAUUUAUAAAUAUUUUUUUCGUAUAAACCUGGUCACUUUACAUGAAAUCUGACUCCAGUGUGAAACUUGAAAUAGUUGUACAUUUAAUACUAUAAUGGAUAAUAUAUAUCUGUUAAAUUGUUGCCAUGUUUUUCUUUUAUUGCAAACAAGUGCAAGGAUUAAUAUCACAUUUUUUAUAACUAAAAGUUUUCAUUAUAAUCAUUUUAUUUGUACUUGACAUUUUUUUAAAAUUAUUUUAAUUAAUUUUUAUUAUUAUCCAUUAAUCAACAGUUACAAUUAUAAUUGCAUAUACUGAUAAGUUUUUACUGUAAAUGUAGCUAUCUCACAAUAGCUCUGUACAACGGCCUAUUAUUUUGGUCACUGAAAUAGGGAUGACUUGUGUCAAAGUACUCUAGCUGUAUUAUAAUUAAAUUUGACGUGUGUAUUAUGGGUUCAAUAUUUUUCAUGGACACUAUUAAAUUUUUUAAUGAUUCUCUGGUAAUGAUGAACCAUGGCUUUAUAGUUUUCCUAAAAACAAAAUUUUGGUGGUCUUGUUGAAUUCAGAUAUGUGAAAACAAUAAAAUCAAAUAUCAACAAAAAAUAUAAUUUGUCUUCAAUUGCUGAAAUUUAAAACCCAUGAAAUGAUAGCUAUCCACAGUAUUUUACAUCAAUUACUUAUUAUUAUAAUGAAUUAUUUUACUGUACAUAAAAGAAAUUUGGAAGAUGCUUUUAUAAUGUGGAAAAGAGGAGGUGUGACAAGAACCAUUAUUAAAAGA